AAGUCGUAACAAGGUUUCCGUAGGAAUAAGAUCCUCCUUGAAGCCUUUUGCACGACGACUAUAACCACGUGCACAGUCUCUUCUCUGAGAGGCUACGCCACUAAAGUGCUGGAAUACAUAUCUUGUAAAUCAGCAGCCAACCAUGAAUUGUCUUUUGUGCUUGGUUCACAGAUUAGCUAGUGAUGGUCAACGGGCGCUCGUGUCGUCGUUGAUUAAGAUAUAAUCGGUCUCAUGGUGACAAUCACGGUUGAAAAACGUUCCGUAGGUGAACCUGCGGAAGGAUCAUUAUCGAGUUAGGGUCCUCCGGGCCUCAUCUCCAACCCUUGUUUAUUCUACCAUGUUGCUUCGGCGGGCCCGUCCUCAACCGGACCGUUGGGGAUCUGCAUCCCUGGCCAGUGCCCGUCUUUAGCCCCAAUCAAUUCUUCUCCCAGUGACGUCUCAGGAACAUUAUAAUAACUAAAACUUUCAACAACGGAUCUCUUGGUUCUGGCAUCGAUGAAGAACGCAGCGAAAUGCGAUAAGUAAUGCGAAUUGCAGAAUUCCGUGAGUCAUCGAAUCUUUGAACGCACAUUGCGCCCCCUGGUAUUCCGGGGGGCAUGCCUGUUCGAGCGUCAUUAUCAACCCUCAAGCUCGGCUUGCUGUUGGGUCACACCGUGGAAGCAAUGGUGGACCCGAAAGAUAAUGGCCGAGUCCGUGGGACCCUGGAUGCAGCGAGCCUUUGAGCACGCGUCCGGACGGUUUCCGGGCUCGGUCUUANCCAAUAAAACUCUGGUUGACCUCGGAUCAGGUAGGGAUACCCGCUGAACUUAAGCAUAUCAAUAAGCGGAGGAAAAGAAACCAACAGGGAUUGCCUCAGUAACGGCGAGUGAAGCGGCAACAGCUCAAAUUUGAAAUCUGGCUCCGUCGGGGCCCGAGUUGUAAUUUGUAGAGGAUGCUUCGGGCAAGGCCGUGGUCUAAUUCGCUUGGAACAGCGAGUCGCAGAGGGUGAGAAUCCCGUCUAGGACCGCCGGCCGCGUCCGUGUGAAGCUCCUUCGACGAGUCGAGUUGUUUGGGAAUGCAGCUCUAAAUGGGUGGUAAAUUUCAUCUAAAGCUAAAUAUGGGCCAGAGACCGAUAGCGCACAAGUAGAGUGAUCGAAAGAUGAAAAGCACUUUGAAAAGAGAGUUAAACAGUAUGUGAAAUUGUUGAAAGGGAAGCGCUUGCAAUCAGACUUGCGACGGACGGUUCCCCCGGCCUUCUGGCCGGGCUACUCCGUCACGUCCAGGCCAACAUCGGUUUGGGUGGCCGGUUAAAGACCCCGGGAACGUAUCUACCUCCGGGUCGACUUAUAGCCCGGGGUGCAAUGCGGCCCACCCGGACCGAGGAACGCGCUCCGGCUCGGAUGUUGGCGUAAUGGUUGUAAGCGGCC
This 1406-nucleotide ribosomal RNA is filed under the name uncultured fungus. RNAcentral's name for it is "eukaryotic LSU rRNA". The stretch from base 774 to 1406 matches the Rfam family "Eukaryotic large subunit ribosomal RNA", at positions 1 to 649 of the family's 3401-position model. The record is from RNAcentral. Lineage: Eukaryota; Fungi.